RNAcentral lists this long non-coding RNA (5514 nucleotides) under Bemisia tabaci. RNAcentral's name for it is "lncRNA ENSSSA2NGG003163". The record is from RNAcentral. Lineage: Eukaryota; Metazoa; Arthropoda; Insecta; Hemiptera; Aleyrodidae.
GAGAAAGUGUAAAAAUGUAUAACAAUUAAAAAACUGUUGGGAUAAGGAGGUGUAAUUCGAAAACUAUUACUAAUUUUGUCGAUUUUCACUUUCCAGACAUUGAAGUGAUUUCAACUAAUGUUGGGAGUCUUUUAGGAGUCGCCAGUGGCGUGGCAAUAUUUUCCGCCUUAAUAUGUUUCGUACUUAAACUGUUUGUGGGAUUAAGACCCAGGCACUAUGCGACUACUCAUCUAUCUACGCCCAUCAUUUACGCUAAAGAUAAAGGUAUCGUGGUGGGCCUGAACGGGAUGCAGGGGCGGCCCUCGUACCGGAGCAGCCGCUCCUCGAGCCAGCGGUCUGUGAACACGGGCUCCUUCUCUCGGCAGGGAAGUCGGGGAGUCCUCGUGCCUUCCUCCAGAGCAGGUGCCGCUCGUAUAGCCGCCAUUCGGCUCCUCAUCUCUUGUCACUUCAACGCACAAAAUAAUCAUGUUCAUGGUUCCCGUCGACCAAGUAUGACGUCAGUGCAGAGCGCUUCCUCGGGGCGGAGCAUGAGCUACAGCAUGAUGCGCUUCGAGAAAGAGAGAGAGCAAAAGACUGAACGAGAGGCGCGCCGAAAAGCGUCGUCGGGGCUUGGAGCAGGAGCUGUCACUCCCACACCACCCACGCCCAGCCCAAAUCCCUCUAACGAGAAACUCCUCUUGGAAAACACAAUUCAACCUCAGGUAUUUUCAGAGACGAGACGAACGGGCAGUUUACGACGACCAACAACAGCGAUGGUGAUAGGACCAGAGACGAGCGAGGCAAGACUCGGGAGUUGCUCCCCUCUGAAUCACCUGACGAUUGAGUCUCAUCUUUUGACUGAGCGAAUUCCAGAGGAAUCAUUAGAGACUUAGCCGAUCUCAUCGAGAACUCCAAUACGUAAAAACUCAUCGUCACUCAGCAAUUCCAAUUUUUCGAAGAUCAAUAUCGAUGGUCCAAGUGCGAAACCACGUAUCCUUGUUUGCGACUUUUUAGACUUCCUGUCAUACUUUAUUGUUUCCCUGGGAAACUAGUCAGGGCCGGAUUCAGGGGGUGGCCACAUGGGCCGCGGCCCAUGGCGGCAAUUUUAGGGGGCGGCAAAUUUUGCAAUUUUUUAAAUGUAGAUAUAAAAAAAUUGGAUUCAGAAAAAAAUUACAAACAAGAAAAGGCGACAAAAUAUCUCAUUUCCAGAGAGUAUAGUAAGUUCUAAUUUUGUCGACCUUUGGUGAUACAAGAGACAGAACCUUUAAUCAGUUGAGUCUGGAACGGCGCGGCGCAGAGAGCAAUGAUGACGAGGACUUGAGAUGAAAAGGAGAAGCCCUCGGCGCGGCGGUCGGAAUUUAACACGCAGCGCCUACAAAACUGCAUGAAUACUUCACGCAUUGCGUCAAACACAAUGCGGUGAGCAGCAGUCGACGUGAAACGCAUAGCGCCUACAAGACUGCAUGAAUACUUCACGCAUUGCGUCAAACACAGUGCGGUCAUUGCGGACAGCGCGAAACGGAUAGCGCCUACAAGAAUGCAUGAAUACUUCACGCAUUGCGUCAAACACAGUGCGGUCAGCGAGGCGCGGCGGCAGAAGUUAAAAUUAUUGAGCCACAUUUAUGUUUGUUCUUUCAUAAUUUUUUUGUUCAUAUCUUAUAAAUGGAAGGCCUUGUCCACACAGAGAUAGGUUCACGGAACUUAACUUUCGCGCAAAGUUUCGUGAAAUUUUGCUGGUAGUGUUGACAGGGCUUUCGCAAAAAAAUGUUUCCAACACGAGUUAACGCGUCUCAUGCACCCCUCCCCCUCCGGCACUUUACUUGAUGGUUUUUAUUGAUGUUUCAAAACGAAUGCGACCCAUGGGCGGCAAGUGGGUAAAUCGGGCCCUGAAACUAGUCAUCCCAAUUUUUCGAGAACUUCCUUGAGUUUUCUGGCAGAAUAUUCUGUAAAAAUUUCAAGCUAUAAAGUUGACUUGUUUCCGCUCGAAAAUAUAAAAUAGGAGCGGCAAUCUUGAAACACUGCAAUGGAAAUGCAUGGUUUCGCACUUUGGUUUAUCGAUAUGCCACGGUAAGUUACUCUGCCGUCCACAGUAAAAAGGCCGUAUCUCAAUGCUAUCCUUUGUCGGCUGUUUUCUGGAAAAAUGCUUUUCUCGAAGAAAACCGACAACGGUACUGCCGUGCUCAGGAUUAAUACCGUAUGAACAUCCGAGAGUUGCCAAUUUUCCGUCGAUAAAAUUUUUAUGUUUGAAGGAAGCUACGAAUAUGUUUCCUUGAAAUUUUCAGGAACUUGAGGUGAAAUUGCGAACAAAUUAUAUGAAAAUUGAAGGAUAAAUAUUGACAAAUUUUCCAGAAAAUUCGUGAUUUAUCAGAGGAAAUUUGGCAACACCUGGAGGAUCAUACGGCGUUUUUCCUUAGCACGGCAGAGUAGAAUGUCAAUUUUCCCGCGCUGCAGUCUGUUAUCCGCGCACCGGUAUUAUCCGCGACUUUUUUUGGUGGUUCUCGGCCGGGCUAAUGAUUCUAAAACCUGUGGAAUGGAUCGCAGCCCAGAAACAUUGCAAUUCUAUGGUACAAAUUUCUAAAAAGACGUCUUCUAGAAAUUAUAUAUAACCUGAAAAAAACUUCUCCUGAGGUGGGUAAAGUUUAUUCAUUUUUCUACUAAUAUAUGUAAUUACAUUUCUGCCUAUUAUUUGCCAAGUUCUCAGUAGAUUCGUUUAAAAUACAGACUUUCAGAUAGUUUUUGUUGCGGCCAAGUAGCAUAAUUCAAUCCGGAUUAACCGCGAUUUUCGGUUAUACGCGAUAUUUGAUUAUAUGCGAUUUUCGAUUAUCCGUCCCUACCAUCGUGGACAAUCAACACUUCUCUGUAAUAUUCAUGUUUCAAUUUUUUUAAAUGAUUCUAUAUCAUGCUUUUGGGGUUUUCAAUAUGAAAAAAUGAGAGCUAGUGUGGCAAUCAGGUAUCCUUGUAACAGUUCAUCACGUGUCGAGGAAAAAUGCGAAAAUACAGAUAUACGGCGUUUUUGCUUCAGACGGCAGUAACUGGCUCCAACUCUUCGCAACGAGGGUAUGAAACUGAUGGGGCGAGAGGAAAGAGAAAGGGUAGCUGAGUUUUUUGUUUUUGUUUUUUUUGUUUUGGUUAAGGUGGUCCACUGUGACUUUUUUUAACAAUUGCUUCACCAUUCGAUCUAAGUUUGUAUUUUCCUUAGAGAAUUUGCAGUUUUCCGAAAUUUAAUGAAUAUCAUCUGCAAACAGAAACUACUGAGUGAACUGAGCACAAAAAUGUCCUCGAUAUCUGACAGAGUCUUUUCUGCUCAAAAAUAUGUGUGUAAUUGGGAAACACCACACUAUGGCGCCACUGGGCGAUGGUCUCAAUUUUAAAUACAUUUUCCUCCAAUUUUCUGUAACAGGAAAAAAUCAUAAAAAUUACCGUGACCUCAGCUCAUAGAGCACUUUUAGAUGAAGCAAUAAAAUGUUCUCGUGCCGUACAUAUUCUCUAUCAAGCCUUUUCAAGCGGAGUUUUUAAAUGAGACUGGGUGAAAACAUCAUUACAGUUUGUUUUCUAUUGUAUUAAUAUAAAUACCUACUUUGGAAACUGCAUCACGCCAGCGAGGAAAGUGACCAAUAUGAAAAUCCAGCAGGGCCAUUAUGUAUGCCUUUUACCUUAUUUUAUUUAUAAUGUCACUUAUGCUUAAGGACAUAAGAAGGGUAGUUGUUGUGUUUUGUAUACAAUCUAUUGUAAUGUAUAAUUAAACCAAUAACAAUUUUGUAAUUUUUAUGAAUAAAUUAAUGUCCAAUUUACUUCGAGUAAUUUGCAGUAGUUUUCAUUUAUUUUUUCAGGCCAUUGAACUAGCACCUGUAGAGCUUCCUUGAUUAAUGCAAGGAGUUUUUCAUUCUUUGAGGUGGUUUCAAAAUUUCGAGGGUCUCAUCAUGCCAUAAGAAACACUACAUGUCCCUUUUUAAUCGUACAACCUCUUACUUGAAUAUAUGAUAACUCAAUUCUGUAAGAAUUGUGGAUGUAGGAUAGUCAAGUAAAGUAUUUGGGUUUUUGAUCAUAAAAAAAAAGAAAAGAAAAGUUUAGUCGGGAAAUUUUCUUGCUGUUUUUGACAAGAAUGAACUGUAAAAUUGAAUAAAAGGCGAGGAAAUGAGCCUGAGUGUUGGAUGUUUUUUACCCUAAGACGAGGAGUAUUCGGAAUCAUUUAUUUUAAUAUAUUUUAAAUAAAGACACCUCACUCCUUCAGUCGUGAAAUUCUUCAAUGCUUGAGAGAUACAUAUUCUUAGAGAGCCGCACUGCUACAUAUUGCCUGGUGCUGCAUUUUUCGUUCUACAUAUAAUAAGGGCAAGUAGCAGUAGUAUCUUUAUUGUAGUUUUGUUUCCACCAUUCAAUCUAACUUGUGAUCUUUUUCCUUUUAGAUGGCAAAAUAAAAGGUGUGGUUGAAGACUUAUUUCUUUUGAAAGUAAAAAAAAUUAUAAAACAAGGACAAGGAUAAAUAAAUUUUUUUCUACUGCUUUUUUACAGGGCAGAUAAACGGUGUUUUUAAUAAGGAGCGUAUUUUCGAAUUUCGCGCCAAAUUUUCAUAUUUGAUACAAGGUCGUUGAAAAGCGCGCAAAGAAUUUGGGCCAAUCAGAGCGAAUUAAAUGAAAAACACAAAAAAUGUGAUAAAAGUUCGAAUUUUGAGGUUAUCUACACACUGUCAUCUCUCCCACGUAAUCAGUAAUCACGAUUUCCCCGAUUUCCUUGAUAACUUUGAUAAUCAAGCAAAAGAUAAAGAUUGCUCGCUGUUCACAAUCUGCUUCCUCCGUUAUCCUUCAACAUUUUCACAAUUUUUGUAAACAAGUGAUCAUGUAAGCGAGAAACAGGAAAGUCAACUCGGAAUUCCAAUCAAUCACUGGUAAUUGAGAGCUAGAGUAAGUACCCUUAUUUUCUCUUCCUUUUUUUUCUAUUCACUCUCUCUUUAAGCACUAUAUUAUGUAGCAUAAUUUUAAUAUAUAUCUAUAAUUAUCAUAUGAUUAAACUAAGUAAAUUUCUUGAUCAACCAAAUCAUUUAGAUGUCAUAAUGUUCAUGAGUCUGGAGUUUUACUUGUCGCUUGAUGCCGUGAAAUCAUGUGCACAGAAUACAUAAGUAAGUUGUACAUUAACACCUGAAAGACUACUUGUGUCUUUGCACUCAAAUUAUAUUCUAGCCGUUCCAUUUCCCGUAUCAAAUCAAUAGGCCUUUGUUCCAUCAAGGAACUUCCCAAGGAAGACGGGUGUUCUUUUUGCUAUUGCUAAAUCUAAUUGUAAGUUGAAAAUAUAAAUUUUGGCUGUGUAGAUGAGUCUUAGACCCAGAGACAGGUCGGAAAUGAAGAGUUUUACUGGGGAAAGAGUAGGAAAAGGUACUGCGAUGAUUAUCAUAAUCUGCAAAAUAUUGGAAAGAUGUAAGUGCUGCUCUCUCAGCAUAUGUUUAUAUUUUAUUUUAUUUUAUUUUAUUUUACCGUUUGAAGACCUUCAUUGGUCCAAUCAAUUGCAACGUAAGUUGAUUCUUAUUCUAAAUAAAUAAACCUU